UUUAACGAGAGUUUGAUCCUGGCUCAGGAUGAACGCUGGCGGCGUGCUUAACACAUGCAAGUCGAGCGAAGCACUUUUGCGGAUUUC
Molecule: ribosomal RNA, 87 nt
Filed under: Lachnospiraceae bacterium
Lineage: Bacteria; Bacillati; Bacillota; Clostridia; Lachnospirales; Lachnospiraceae
Description: partial 16S ribosomal RNA
Rfam family: Bacterial small subunit ribosomal RNA
Source: RNAcentral